CAGUAGCCGCGGGAACACAGAGGGUGCGAGCGUUAAUCGGAUUUACUGGGCGUAAAGCGUGCGUAGGCGGCUUCUUAAGUCGGAUGUGAAAUCCCUGAGCUUAACUUAGGAAUUGCAUUCGAUACUGGGAAGCUAGAGUAUGGGAGAGGAUGGUAGAAUUCCAGGUGUAGCGGUGAAAUGCGUAGAGAUCUGGAGGAAUACCGAUGGCGAAGGCAGCCAUCUGGCCUAAUACUGACGCUGAGGUACGAAAGCAUGGGGAGCAAACAGGAUUAGAUACCCCAGUAGUCCCUGUCUCUUAUAC
This 301-nucleotide ribosomal RNA is filed under the name uncultured bacterium. RNAcentral describes it as "partial 16S ribosomal RNA". It matches the Rfam family "Bacterial small subunit ribosomal RNA", at positions 509 to 807 of the family's 1533-position model. The record is from RNAcentral.